This 253-nucleotide ribosomal RNA is filed under the name uncultured bacterium. RNAcentral describes it as "partial 16S ribosomal RNA". It matches the Rfam family "Bacterial small subunit ribosomal RNA", at positions 524 to 776 of the family's 1533-position model. The record is from RNAcentral.
CACGGGGGGAGCAAGCGUUGUUCGGAAUCACUGGGCGUAAAGGGCGUGUAGGCGGUCAAGUAAGUGGAAUGUGAAAGCCCCCGGCUUACCCGGGGAUCUGCAUCCCAAACUGCUUGGCUUGAGUACGGGAGAGGAUAGGGGAAUUCCUGGUGUAGCGGUGAAAUGCGUAGAUAUCAGGAGGAACACCGGUGGCGAAGGCGCCUAUCUGGCCCGAUACUGACGCUGAGGCACGAAAGCGUGGGGAUCAAACAGG